RNAcentral lists this ribosomal RNA (694 nucleotides) under Salmonella enterica subsp. enterica serovar Saintpaul. RNAcentral describes it as "bacterial LSU rRNA". It matches the Rfam family "Bacterial large subunit ribosomal RNA", at positions 1084 to 1693 of the family's 2925-position model. The record is from RNAcentral. Lineage: Bacteria; Pseudomonadati; Pseudomonadota; Gammaproteobacteria; Enterobacterales; Enterobacteriaceae.
CCCAGACAGCCAGGAUGUUGGCUUAGAAGCAGCCAUCAUUUAAAGAAAGCGUAAUAGCUCACUGGUCGAGUCGGCCUGCGCGGAAGAUGUAACGGGGCUAAACCAUGCACCGAAGCUGCGGCAGCGAACGUAUCACCCAAGACAACUUUACGGAGUUGACGAUUGACGGAGCGAAGCGACGUCAAAGCGUUCAUUAAAGUCGAGUUGGCUUAGGGAUACGUUCGUUGGGUAGGGGAGCGUUCUGUAAGCCUGUGAAGGUGGCCUGUGAGGGUUGCUGGAGGUAUCAGAAGUGCGAAUGCUGACAUAAGUAACGAUAAAGCGGGUGAAAAGCCCGCUCGCCGGAAGACCAAGGGUUCCUGUCCAACGUUAAUCGGGGCAGGGUGAGUCGACCCCUAAGGCGAGGCCGAAAGGCGUAGUCGAUGGGAAACGGGUUAAUAUUCCCGUACUUGGUGUUACUGCGAAGGGGGGACGGAGAAGGCUAUGUUGGCCGGGCGACGGUUGUCCCGGUUUAAGCGUGUAGGUGUGUGUUCCAGGUAAAUCCGGUUCACUUUAACACUGAGGCGUGACGACGAGGCACUACGGUGCUGAAGCAACAAAUGCCCUGCUUCCAGGAAAAGCCUCUAAGCAUCAGGUAACAUCAAAUCGUACCCCAAACCGACACAGGUGGUCAGGUAGAGAAUACCAAGGCGCUUGA